Myzus persicae (green peach aphid) is the source of this 1343-nucleotide long non-coding RNA. RefSeq lists it as uncharacterized. The transcript is spliced from 3 exons. The record is from RefSeq and is a predicted model, not a curated record. Lineage: Eukaryota; Metazoa; Arthropoda; Insecta; Hemiptera; Aphididae.
UAAUGCAACGCACUCUCAGCUAUAUCAGUUUGCUGACAAAUAGGUAUUGCAAUGUUAAGAUUGUAUACAUACCUAUAUAGUUAACCAUAUUAAACACUUAAUAUGAGAUAGACCCAAUUAUUAUUGUUAAGAGGAUGUCAGCGCAAUGUUUGUUUUCUCUCCAUAGGCGACGCGCAACACGUAGACAAAACGCAUUUACGCAAAAUCAUUAUUUUUAUGUUUUUGACUAAGUGAAAGCAUUUUAUUAGCAGAAGAUCUGAGGGAGAAAACAAAUAUUGAGCUGACAUCAUAUUUUAAUGCAUACGAAAUCGAGGAUUUUUUAACAAGGUUGUCCACGUCAUGAAAACACAGAGAUAAUGUAUAAUAAUUGAUUAAGUCAAUGAUUAAUCAAUAAUAUUAGGUACUUUAAAGUUGAAGUGCAAAAUUAAUUACAAAAAUUAAAAGCAUGACGUAUCUUUAUACAGGUUAGCAAAGCAGUGUUUGCAUUAUCUAGACAACUAAAUGUAAUAGAAUGCGGAGUAACGGUGCGUUCAUGUUUUCGACCGUGCGGAGAUGUACGGUGCAUGCAGAGUUACGGAUUCACAAAAUAUUUUUAUUCAUGCGGAGUUACGGUGCGUCCAGAUUUUCAUGUGUCAGGGUGUGUUCUCUCGCAGUACAUAGUGUAUAUUGAGUCGGCAGUAGGUUAUCGCAGAUACAAGCGACUUAUUAUCUAUAAUAGAGGUAGACGCAGAUAUAGUUCUGGUAACUGAUGGUCGGUAAAGUAUGUACCAAUACAUAUAAUUGUGGCCAUGUACCUAUAUUCUUUGAUAUUUUUUAUUAUUAUUAAAUUCAAUACAACUAAUGAUAAAUCAUACAAGCUUCUUUUUACUCACAAACAAAUAUUUUAUCGUACAUAUAUUGGAGAAAAAUAUGUCAAAAGUUGACAGUUUCAAUAUUGUCUACCUAUAAAUAGCGUGAAAAAUCCAAAAUAUUUAGAAAACUAUGCCGUCAUAUGUCUAUAAAAUGCCAACAUAAAUAUUAUUUUUGAGCUACAAUAUAAAGUAAAUAACGUUUCGCCACUUCAUACCAAACCAUCGACCAGGACUAAAUUGGCAUUUGACACUCGUCCAAAGAGAUCCGUGAGGCCCACUAACAUCGGUUAAACUCACGCACAUGCACAAUAGUUCGAUAGGUCCUCGUUUCGUUCAUAAUCGUUUAAAUAUGUAAUCAAAUUUGGAUUGACUUUUUGUAAUUCGAUUAGCUUCAUAUUCAUACUUGGCGUAAAUUAUAGAAGAAACUUUUCAAAAUGUAUUUUUGAAUUUUGAUGUUGAGUUGAUUUGUUUUUAUUAUACCGACAUCAUCGU